This 1439-nucleotide ribosomal RNA is filed under the name uncultured bacterium. Its description in RNAcentral is "bacterial SSU rRNA". It matches the Rfam family "Bacterial small subunit ribosomal RNA". The record is from RNAcentral.
AGAGUUUGAUCAUGGCUCAGAACGUACGCUGGCGGCACGCCUAAUACAUGCAAGUCGAACGAAGUAGCAAUACUUAGUGGCAGACGGGUGAGUAACAUGUAGGUAUCUUCCCAUUGGUGAGGAAUAACACGAGGAAACUUGUGCUAAUACCUCAUAAGUCUUUACGGAGAAAGCUUUAUGCGCCGAUGGAUGAGCCUGCACUUGAUUAGUUUGUUGGUAGGGUAAUGGCCUACCAAGACAAUGAUCAAUAGCUGAUUUGAGAGGAUGAUCAGCCACAUUGGGACUGAGACACGGCCCAAACUCCUACGGGAGGCAGCAGUAGGGAAUCUUGCACAAUGGGGGAAACCCUGAUGCAGCGAUGCCGCGUGAGUGAAGAAGGCCUUUGGGUUGUAAAGCUCUUUCGUCGGGGAAGAAAAUGACUGUACCCGAAUAAGAAGGUCCGGCUAACUUCGUGCCAGCAGCCGCGGUAAUACGAAGGGACCUAGCGUAGUUCGGAAUUACUGGGCUUAAAGAGUUCGUAGGUGGUUAAAAAAGUUGGUGGUGAAAUCCCAGAGCUUAACUCUGGAACUGCCAUCAAAACUUUUUAGCUAGAGUAUGAUAGAGGAAAGCAGAAUUUCUAGUGUAGAGGUGAAAUUCGUAGAUAUUAGAAAGAAUACCAAUUGCGAAGGCAGCUUUCUGGAUCAUUACUGACACUGAGGAACGAAAGCAUGGGUAGCGAAGAGGAUUAGAUACCCUCGUAGUCCAUGCCGUAAACGAUGUGUGUUAGACGUUGGAAAUUUAUUUUCUGUGUCGCAGCGAAAGCAAUAAACACACCGCCUGGGGAGUACGACCGCAAGGUUAAAACUCAAAUGAAUUGACGGGGACCCGCACAAGUAGUGGAGCAUGUGGUUUAAUUCGAAGAUACGCGCAGAACCUUACCAACACUUGACAUGUUCGUCGCGACUUUAAGAGAUUAAAGUUUUCGGUUCGGCCGGACGAAACACAGGUGCUGCAUGGCUGUCGUCAGCUCGUGUCGUGAGAUGUUGGGUUAAGUCCCGCAACGAGCGCAACCCUCACUUUUAGUUGCCAUCAUUUAGUUGGGCACUCUGAAAGAACUGCCAGUGAUAAGCUGGAGGAAGGUGGGGAUGACGUCAAGUCCUCAUGGCCCUUACGUGUUGGGCUACACACGUGCUACAAUGGCAUUUACAAUAGGAAGCAAGACGGCGACGUUAAGCAAAUCCUAAAAAAAUGCCUCAGUUCGGAUUGUACUCUGCAACUCGAGUACAUGAAGCUGGAAUUACUAGUAAUCGCGGAUCAGCGCGCCGCGGUGAAUACGUUCCCGGGUCUUGUACACACCGCCCGUCACACCAUGGGAGUUGGUUCUACCUUAAGGCAAAGUUUAAUACCUUUGACCACGGUAUAGUCAGCGACUGGGGUGAAGUCGUAACAAGGUAACCGUA